AUGGGCCUGGGUAAGGCAGGCAGGGGAGCCAUGACCCAGCUACCCAGACCUACCGCAAGCUGGCCUGGAAAAAAGCUCCAAAAAGAGAAGCUUUAUGGCCAUCUCUCUCCAGCCCCACUUCCACCUGCAUAUCAAGAUAAUCAUACCCACUAUUCCUCCCCUUCUCUUACUCUGCUAGUCACCCCAGGGAUUAAGGAAUGCCCUGGGCAUCCCGAAAUGCAGCUGAAGUCGUAAGGGGGUAUGGGUGAGACAGCACAGCCUGUACUCAGAGACAUAAUUUCUAUCCCAUCUUGCCUGAUGAAGCUUAGAACCCAGCUAUAUAUAUAUCUCCAAGGAAACCGGGUGUUGGGGGGAGUGGCGGGCAGGAUUUCUUCAAAAUUAAUACUCGAAGUCCAGAGUUUUACAGUGAGACCCUAGAUGGGCUGGGAGCAAAGUUCUCCACAGGGCACAGUCAUUGAUGCUGGACUGUCACAUCCAUCACUGGAAUAGAGGAAGCUCCUCAUCUCAGAUGGGUUAUGGAGGACUGGGGCAGACUUCAGUUCAGCCAAGGACUCCCUUAGCCUUUCCUAUAUUAAAGCCAAAGGUUGUGCUGAGAAGGAAAAAUAUAAGACAGACCCCAUCCCCGUCCCACCCUAUCCAAAAAUCCCCACAAUAGGAACAGCAAAAGAAAAGUUUUAAGUUUUGUAAAUUUUUUUUUCUUUUUCCUUUCUUAAAAAAAAAAAAAGUAAAUAAAUUAAAUUGCCAACAAUGUGGCUGGGCUGGAAAAGUGGGGUAGCCAUAAUCAGGCCAUUCUUAAAAAAGAAAAACUGUGAGGGAGGGAGUAAAAUAUAAACAAACAAUGGCCAAAGAAAAUUAUCAAAAUAACUAGUUACAAUCACAGGGCUGAGAGAGAGGGGUCUAUGGAACUAUUAUGGCCUGUGCCAGAGGCAGUGCCUACCCAAUUUCAGCAAAAGCCAGAGAGCUGCUUCCUGCUGAGCAUAUUCACCCCAAUGGACUAACCCCUCACCCCAACCCUGUCAUUCCCUAAUCGUGAGAAAGUGUAGGAAAGAAGAGCUCAUCUGGAAAUUUUCGGCAUCCCCACCUGCACACCUGCAGACCCGGCGGGAGCCCACACCUUUAAGGUGGGCUGAACAGGGUAUUGCUUGGCACAGAGGUCCAGUCUUCCCCUAAGGGCCACCAGCGAUGGCCUACUGGCCUCAUUAUUUCUAGGGUUUUGUUCCAUCCUUACCAUUUCUUUAGCAUGUCUGCUCCCCAGAGCCGCCCUCUAAAUGCUGUUUAGAGAGUCAAUAGGCCUGCCUGCUCUGGAUUCCCUGGUUUUGGAGGAGGGGAACAGUUAGAGAUGCCUCACUCCAUCCUGAUCCUCUAGAGAAAAUGAGUAUCUUUGUGCUUUCUGAAAACAUCUGGAACCAGGACCCUAGGCAGGAAAACAGAAAUAGAGGUGGGGACUUUCCCAACCAGAUGGAAAAUAUACAGACAUUUUAGGGGAAGAAAUUAGGCAAAUGG
This 1503-nucleotide long non-coding RNA is filed under the name Delphinapterus leucas (beluga whale). RNAcentral's name for it is "lncRNA (ENSDLEG00000006059.1)". The record is from RNAcentral. Lineage: Eukaryota; Metazoa; Chordata; Mammalia; Artiodactyla; Monodontidae.